AGUUUGAUCGGGGAGUAAUGCAUAGGAAUCUGCCCGGUAGUGGGGGAUAACCUGGGGAAACUCAGGCUAAUACCGCAUACGUCCUACGGGAGAAAGCAGGGGAUCUUCGGACCUUGCGCUAUCGGAUGAGCCUAUGUCGGAUUAGCUAGUUGGUGAGGUAACGGCUCACCAAGGCCGCGAUCCGUAGCUGGUCUGAGAGGAUGAUCAGCCACAUCGGGACUGAGACACGGCCCGAACUCCUACGGGAGGCAGCAGUGGGGAAUAUUGGACAAUGGGCGAAAGCCUGAUCCAGCCAUGCCGCGUGUGUGAAGAAGGCCCUCGGGUUGUAAAGCACUUUCAGUGAGGAAGAACGCUUGUGGGCUAAUACCCCGCAAGAAGGACAUCACUCACAGAAGAAGCACCGGCUAACUCCGUGCCAGCAGCCGCGGUAAUACGGAGGGUGCGAGCGUUAAUCGGAAUUACUGGGCGUAAAGCGCGCGUAGGCGGCUUGAUAAGCCGGUUGUGAAAGCCCCGGGCUCAACCUGGGAACGGCAUCCGGAACUGUCAGGCUAGAGUGCAGGAGAGGAAGGUAGAAUUCCCGGUGUAGCGGUGAAAUGCGUAGAGAUCGGGAGGAAU
This 615-nucleotide ribosomal RNA is filed under the name Halomonas sp. RNAcentral describes it as "bacterial SSU rRNA". It matches the Rfam family "Bacterial small subunit ribosomal RNA", at positions 96 to 707 of the family's 1533-position model. Lineage: Bacteria; Pseudomonadati; Pseudomonadota; Gammaproteobacteria; Oceanospirillales; Halomonadaceae. The record is from RNAcentral.